This 489-nucleotide ribosomal RNA is filed under the name uncultured bacterium. Its description in RNAcentral is "bacterial SSU rRNA". It matches the Rfam family "Bacterial small subunit ribosomal RNA", at positions 8 to 494 of the family's 1533-position model. The record is from RNAcentral.
AGGGUUUGAUCCUGGCUCAGAUUGAACGCUGGCGGCAGGCCUAACACAUGCAAGUCGAACGGUAACAUUUCUAGCUUGCUAGAAGAUGACGAGUGGCGGACGGGUGAGUAAUGCUUGGGAACUUGCCUUUAGGAGGGGGAUAACAGUUGGAAACGACUGCUAAUACCGCAUAAUGUCUACGGACCAAAGGGGGCUUCGGCUCUCACCUAAAGAGAGGCCCAAGUGAGAUUAGCUAGUUGGUAAGGUAAAGGCUUACCAAGGCGACGAUCUCUAGCUGUUCUGAGAGGAAGAUCAGCCACACUGGGACUGAGACACGGCCCAGACUCCUACGGGAGGCAGCAGUGGGGAAUAUUGCACAAUGGGGGAAACCCUGAUGCAGCCAUGCCGCGUGUGUGAAGAAGGCCUUCGGGUUGUAAAGCMCUUUCAGUUGUGAGGAAAGGUUGGUAGUUAAUACCUGCCAGCUGUGACGUUAACAACAGAAGAAGCACC